AUUAUGAAAGCAAAAAAUUAUGGCGGUAUUUUAAGCUUUUCAGAGGAAUUUGCUCUUUAAUGGAUAAAACACCUAAAUCUUACUUAAAUUUGUUAAUUCAAUUUGUAUACCACUAUAAAAACAAUUUAUAACUUUAAUUGUUUAAAUUUAUUAAAUUAAAAUAUAUUAAGUCAAGGUGCAGUAAAAAUUUAAGAAUGAAGUGAAUUACAUUACUCUUUAGAGAAAUAAAUUUAAAAUAAUAUUUAGGAUUUGAAAGUAAAAUUAAAAUAGGAUGUUUGU
This 279-nucleotide ribosomal RNA is filed under the name Rhipicephalus turanicus. RNAcentral's name for it is "partial 12S ribosomal RNA". Lineage: Eukaryota; Metazoa; Arthropoda; Arachnida; Ixodida; Ixodidae. The record is from RNAcentral.